Molecule: ribosomal RNA, 433 nt
Filed under: uncultured bacterium
Lineage: Bacteria
Description: partial 16S ribosomal RNA
Rfam family: Bacterial small subunit ribosomal RNA
Source: RNAcentral
AACGAACGCUGGCGGCAUGCCUAACACAUGCAAGUCGAACGAGACCUUCGGGUCUAGUGGCGCACGGGUGCGUAACGCGUGGGAACCUGCCCUUAGGUUCGGAAUAACUCCCCGAAAGGGGUGCUAAUACCGGAUAAUGUCUUCGGACCAAAGAUUUAUCGCCUUUGGAUGGGCCCGCGUUGGAUUAGCUAGUUGGUAGGGUAAAAGCCUACCAAGGCGACGAUCCAUAGCUGGUCUGAGAGGAUGAUCAGCCACACUGGGACUGAGACACGGCCCAGACUCCUACGGGAAGCAGCAGUGGGGAAUAUUGGACAAUGGGUGAAAGCCUGAUCCAGCAAUGCCGCGUGAGUGAUGAAGGCCUUAGGGUUGUAAAGCUCUUUUACCCGGGAUGAUAAUGACAGUACCGGGAGAAUAAGCGCCGGCUAACUCCGUG